Molecule: ribosomal RNA, 789 nt
Filed under: uncultured bacterium
Lineage: Bacteria
Description: bacterial SSU rRNA
Rfam family: Bacterial small subunit ribosomal RNA
Source: RNAcentral
UUAGUGGCAGACGGGUGAGUAACGCGUGGGAACCUGCCCAGUAGUAGAGAAUAACUUGGGGAAACUUAAGCUAAUACUUUAUACGUCCUUCGGGAGAAAGCUUUAUGCGCUAUUGGAUGGGCCCGCGUUAGAUUAGUUUGUUGGUGAGGUAACGGCUCACCAAGGCGACGAUCUAUAGCUGGUCUGAGAGGAUGAUCAGCCACACUGGGACUGAGACACGGCCCAGACUCCUACGGGAGGCAGCAGUGGGGAAUAUUGGACAAUGGGGGCAACCCUGAUCCAGCGAUGCCGCGUGAGUGAUGAAGGCCCUAGGGUUGUAAAACUCUUUCGUCAGGGAAGAUAAUGACGGUACCUGAAGAAGAAGAUCCGGCUAACUCCGUGCCAGCAGCCGCGGUAAUACGGAGGGGUCUAGCGUUAUUCGGAAUUACUGGGCGUAAAGCGAGCGUAGGCGGAUUUGUAAGUUGGAGGUGAAAUCCCAGAGCUUAACUCUGGAACUGCCUUCAAAACUACAUUUCUUGAGUUUGGUAGAGGAGAGUGGAAUUCCUAGUGUAGAGGUGAAAUUCGUAGAUAUUAGGAGGAACACCAGUGGCGAAGGCGACUCUCUGGGCCAAUACUGACGCUGAGGUUCGAAAGCAUGGGUAGCGAACAGGAUUAGAUACCCUGGUAGUCCAUGCAGUAAACGAUGAGUGCUAGAUGUUGGGAAUUUAAAUUUCCAGUAUCGCAGUUAACGCGUUAAGCACUCCGCCUGGGAAGUACGGCCGCAAGGCUAAAACUCAAAUGAAUUGACGG